Nothoprocta perdicaria is the source of this 130-nucleotide long non-coding RNA. RefSeq lists it as uncharacterized. The transcript is spliced from 2 exons. The record is from RefSeq and is a predicted model, not a curated record. Lineage: Eukaryota; Metazoa; Chordata; Aves; Tinamiformes; Tinamidae.
GCUUCAGCAUCUCGGCGCACGGCAAGGAGCUCUUCGUCAACGCCGACCUGCUCAUCGUGGCCGGGCGCCGCUACGGCCUCGUGGGGCCCAACGGGAAGGGCAAGACGACGCUGCUCAAGCACAUCGCCAA